ACACUCCUACGGGAGGCAGCAGUGAGGAAUAUUGGACAAUGGGUGGAAGCCUGAUCCAGCCAUCCCGCGUGCAGGAAGACGGCCCUAUGGGUUGUAAACUGCUUUUAUCUGGGGAUAAACCUACUUACGUGUAAGUAGCUGAAGGUACCAGAAGAAUAAGCACCGGCUAACUCCGUGCCAGCAGCCGCGGUAAUACGGAGGGUGCAAGCGUUAUCCGGAUUUAUUGGGUUUAAAGGGUCCGUAGGCGGACUGAUAAGUCAGUGGUGAAAUCCGACAGCUUAACUGUCGAACUGCCAUUGAUACUGUUAGUCUUGAGUAAGGUUGAAGUGGCUGGAAUAAGUAGUGUAGCGGUGAAAUGCAUAGAUAUUACUUAGAACACCAAUUGCGAAGGCAGGUCACUAAGUCUUAACUGACGCUGAUGGACGAAAGCGUGGGGAGCGAACAGGAUUAGAAACCCGGGUAGUCCC
This 467-nucleotide ribosomal RNA is filed under the name uncultured organism. RNAcentral describes it as "partial 16S ribosomal RNA". It matches the Rfam family "Bacterial small subunit ribosomal RNA", at positions 333 to 797 of the family's 1533-position model. The record is from RNAcentral.